Triticum urartu is the source of this 306-nucleotide non-coding RNA. Lineage: Eukaryota; Viridiplantae; Streptophyta; Magnoliopsida; Poales; Poaceae. The record is from Rfam.
GCCGAGCUCAGUCACGGGAGCUUGUCACCCAUGUGGGGGCAUUGAGGUGGUGUGGAUGUUUGGUGCGGUUUCUUGGCCUGGGCUUGUGAUGUAACUUUGCUGGCCUGCCCGUUCCAAGUUGGUAGUGGGCUGGGUGGCUGGGGCGAAAGCUUCGGCCUCUCAGGCCCUGAAGUGGCAGGCACCACGUUAGGCUGGUUUCACAGAGCAGCGUUCACUGCCCGCUUCCAACGGUGGAAGGAUAACAGGCCGCUGCAGCAUGGGCCCACUAUUGGCCUAGGACCCCUCCAUAAACAGACCACCAUCUUU